CUCUAGCUCUUUGAAAAGGUGAAACCAAUAAGAUUAAAUCGGACAAAGAUUUUUUUUUCUUCUUCUGUAAGUGUAUCAUUAAGAUUUAACUCUACAGAUUGGAAAGGGUCUCCGCGGGAGAAGAGGAGAGGAGAGUGAGAGUGAGAGGGACAGCGAAUGGGAGCAGGGUAGACGCUCUAAUAGAAUCUGGGAAUCGGCAAGAGUAAAAAGGAGAAAGUGGACGUCAGGACAUUAAAAGAAGAAGCGCCAGCGACGGUGGUUAACGGUAGCGGAGCAGCUUUCUACGUGGGCAAACCGGGCACCGAUAAGGCAAAGAGGAACACGGUGGCCUGCUGCCUGGACACACAGUGGGACAUGUUGGUGUGGUGAAGGGCUGACACUCGGAUGAGAUGUAAUUUAUGGCAAGUGUUGUGUGGUCAUAGGACAGUGACAGUGACGCGUCUGCUUAGAAGCACGAGAAUUGCGACCACGAAGAGCGGUAAAUAUAACAUAAAAGGAGUGUGUGUUUAUCGAGUACACUCCAAGCUUUUCUACUCAGAAAUGAAUCCAAAGCUGAGGUCAAGCCCUGACAAAUGAGAUGGUCGAGUUCUGGCCAGAUCUGCAAACAUUCCACAACAAUCUUCUGUCCUCCUCCUCUCCUCUCCUCAUAUCCGUCAUUCCUCACCCCUUCACUCCUCUCAGUGUGUCUCUUCUACGGCUUCGAGAGCGAGUCAAAGAAUGUUCUCACUGCACACAAACAUGUUUUAUUGUAUUUGCUGUGGGAAUCUUAAAGCACACACACCCUUCAAAUUAAGAAUUACAGCACUGGUUAAAUUUAAUACCUCUGACAUCUGCCGUGUUUACAGAAGGAAGGAAAACAAAAGAGUAUGAUCUGAGAGGAGAAGCUGCGGUAAAGAUUUGGAUAUUACAACCGUGCACUUUGAAAGCACACUGUGUGUGUUUGGAAAGUCUGUCAGUGAUGUCAAGGAUGAGAAAUGUUGCAGUGUGGUUUUUUACACACGCUGCUGGCUCUAGCAUUUCCGGCAACAUUUCUCACACUGCCUCCCUCACACCAUCCGCUCUGCUGCAAUAUCCCCACAUUUUUCCAUCCUUUCGAUUUUUUCCCCUCCACUCCUUGUUUUCCAUCCCUUUACUCCCUUUACCCUUCCUCUUUGCUGCCCCACCCACUCCUAAUCUCAACCUCUCCCUUCCUUCUUCCUUCACCCUCCACAUUCACCCCCCUCCUUUUAUUCCUCCGCCCACAAUAUUUUUUCAGAUUUCUUUCUAACAUGCCGUUCCUCAGAAUGCUACCACCUGUGUCUUGAGGAAGAAAGGAGCCAACCACCCGCAUUCCUUUUACCAGGAGCUGGUAAAGGUAAGUGGAGCCCCCUGUUAAAAUAAGGCAGCAAAUAAAGGUUUUGUUGUAGUGUUUCUGCAUAAACUGUCAUUUUUUUAACGCAAUGAACCUCACCACCCUUCAUCAGCUACAAAAGUCACUGUUAUAUGAACACACACAGUCACCAUCGAUGACUGUGCAGCCACAAUUGUUGCAAAGGAGCCUCGAGACCAACAAAGCUGGCUGAGACGGUAGCGCCGAAUGGAUCACGCUCUUGAAUUUGAUUUCAUAAUGAUGUAAGAUUACUAAGAGGCAAUGCAACACAGCAAAGAUCUUAAUAAAAAACACAUCAAUCUUG
Astatotilapia calliptera (eastern happy) is the source of this 1673-nucleotide long non-coding RNA. Lineage: Eukaryota; Metazoa; Chordata; Actinopteri; Cichliformes; Cichlidae. The record is from Ensembl.